UGCGUAGGGGGCAAGCGUUGUCCGGAAUCAUUGGGCGUAAAGAGCGCGUAGGCGGCCCUGUAAGUCCGCUGUGAAAGUCAAGGGCUCAACCCUUGGAUGCCGGUGGAUACUGCAGGGCUAGAGUCCGGAAGAAGCGAGUGGAAUUCCUGGUGUAGCGGUGAAAUGCGCAGAUAUCAGGAGGAACACCGAUGGCGAAGGCAGCUCGCUGGGACGGUACUGACGCUGAGGCGCGAAAGCGUGGGGAGCAAACAGG
This 253-nucleotide ribosomal RNA is filed under the name uncultured bacterium. Its description in RNAcentral is "partial 16S ribosomal RNA". It matches the Rfam family "Bacterial small subunit ribosomal RNA", at positions 524 to 776 of the family's 1533-position model. The record is from RNAcentral.